UACAGAGGUGGCAAGCGUUGUUCGGAAUUACUGGGCGUAAAGGGCGCGUAGGCGGUUCGUUAAGUCCUGUGUGAAAUCCCCCGGCUCAACUGGGGAACUGCACAGGAAACUAGCGGGCUUGAGUUCGGGAGAGGGAAGCGGAAUUCCGGGUGUAGCGGUGAAAUGCGUAGAUAUCGGGAGGAACACCAGUGGCGAAGGCGACUUCCUGGCCUGUUCUUGACGCUGAGGCGCGAAAGCUAGGGGAGCAAACGGG
This 253-nucleotide ribosomal RNA is filed under the name uncultured bacterium. RNAcentral describes it as "partial 16S ribosomal RNA". It matches the Rfam family "Bacterial small subunit ribosomal RNA", at positions 524 to 776 of the family's 1533-position model. The record is from RNAcentral.